RNAcentral lists this ribosomal RNA (631 nucleotides) under Condylostoma minutum. Its description in RNAcentral is "LSU rRNA". It matches the Rfam family "Eukaryotic large subunit ribosomal RNA", at positions 72 to 878 of the family's 3401-position model. Lineage: Eukaryota; Ciliophora; Heterotrichea; Heterotrichida; Condylostomatidae. The record is from RNAcentral.
GGAUUGCCCCAGUAACGGCGAGUGAAGCGGCAACAGCCCACACUGAAAAUCGCUUCGGCGAGUUGUACAGUGAAGACGUAGCUCUUGCGGAAGGCGGCCUCUGUAACUUCCUUGGAACAGGAGACCAGAGAGGGUGAUAGUCCCGUGCCAGAGGCUGCUGAUCGAUAGAGCGCGUUCUAAGAGUCGGGUAGUUUGGGAUUGCUGCCCUAAGCGGGAGGUAGACUCCUCCUAAGGCUAAAUAUUAACGAGAGACCGAUAGUGGACAAGUACUGUGAAGGAAAGAUGAAAAGAACUUUGGAAAGAGAGUUAAAAGACUUGAAACCGUUGAGGAGGAAGCAGUGUGCUAGGCAUAGUCAUAGGAUGAGGAGGAGAAGGGAGGCUGAACCUGAGUGGGAAGUCGAAGAUCUCCGAAUCAGCUAUGGCGCCUGGUAGACUGGCCCGUCUUGAAACACGGACCAAGGAGUCCAGCCUAUGUGCAAGUAGAGAGACUGUAAAUCUCGAUGCGUAACGAAAGUGAUCUCUGUAGCAGCAGAGGCCGCGUCAGCGAGCUCAGCAGAUAGGCUGGGACCCGAAAGAUGGUGAACUAUGCUUGGGAAAGGCGAAGCCAGGGGAAACUCUGGUGGAGGCUUGU